CAGAGUCUCCCCUGUACGUCCAAGGCGUCACAAUCCAAACAAUGCAAUACACAAGGUUCCAACCAGGAACAGUAUUCAAACAAGGAUUGCAAAAGAAAGUAUCAAAAACAUAAAUACAACGCUAUUACAAGCAUUCAACUCACAUACAUUUACAUAUUAUAUUCUUAACUCUUUUUAGCUUCCAAAUACAAUCCAAAUUAUUACAAUUAUUACAACAUUGUUCUUUUCAUUUCUUUC
Molecule: long non-coding RNA, 237 nt
Filed under: Ananas comosus (pineapple)
Lineage: Eukaryota; Viridiplantae; Streptophyta; Magnoliopsida; Poales; Bromeliaceae
Description: long non-coding RNA (ACOM_LNC011958)
Source: RNAcentral